GAUGAACGCUAGCUACAGGCUUAACACAUGCAAGUCGAGGGGCAGCAUGGUCUUAGCUUGCUAAGGCCGAUGGCGACCGGCGCACGGGUGAGUAACACGUAUCCAACCUGCCGUCUACUCUUGGACAGCCUUCUGAAAGGAAGAUUAAUACAAGAUGGCAUCAUGAGUCCGCAUGUUCACAUGAUUAAAGGUAUUCCGGUAGACGAUGGGGAUGCGUUCCAUUAGAUAGUAGGCGGGGUAACGGCCCACCUAGUCUUCGAUGGAUAGGGGUUCUGAGAGGAAGGUCCCCCACAUUGGAACUGAGACACGGUCCAAACUCCUACGGGAGGCAGCAGUGAGGAAUAUUGGUCAAUGGGCGAGAGCCUGAACCAGCCAAGUAGCGUGAAGGAUGACUGCCCUAUGGGUUGUAAACUUCUUUUAUAAAGGAAUAAAGUCGGGUAUGGAUACCCGUUUGCAUGUACUUUAUGAAUAAGGAUCGGCUAACUCCGUGCCAGCAGCCGCGGGAAUACGGAGGAUCCGAGCGUUAUCCGGAUUUAUUGGGUUUAAAGGGAGCGUAGAUGGAUGUUUAAUUCAGUUGGGAAAGGUUGCGGGUCGCCGUAAAAUUGCAGUUGAUACUGGAUAUCUUGUGUGCAGUUGAGGCAGGCGGAAUUCGUGGUGUAGCGGUGAAAUGCUUAGAUAUCACGAAGAACUCCGAUUGCGAAGGCAGCCUGCUAAGCUGCAACUGACAUUGAGGCUCGAAAGUGUGGGUAUCAAACAGGAUUAGAUACCCUGGUAGUCCACACGGUAAACGAUGAAUACUCGCUGUUUGCGAUAUACUGCAAGCGGCCAAGCGAAAGCGUUAAGUAUUCCACCUGGGGAGUACGCCGGCAACGGUGAAACUCAAAGGAAUUGACGGGGGCCCGCACAAGCGGAGGAACAUGUGGUUUAAUUCGAUGAUACGCGAGGAACCUUACCCGGGCUUAAAUUGCAGAUGAAUUACGGUGAAAGCCGUAAGCCGCAAGGCAUCUGUGAAGGUGCUGCAUGGUUGUCGUCAGCUCGUGCCGUGAGGUGUCGGCUUAAGUGCCAUAACGAGCGCAACCCUUGUUGUCAGUUACUAACAGGUUCCGCUGAGGACUCUGACAAGACUGCCAUCGUAAGAUGUGAGGAAGGUGGGGAUGACGUCAAAUCAGCACGGCCCUUACGUCCGGGGCUACACACGUGUUACAAUGGGGGGUACAGAGGGCCGCUACCACGCGAGUGGAUGCCAAUCCCCAAAACCUCUCUCAGUUCGGACUGGAGUCUGCAACCCGACUCCACGAAGCUGGAUUCGCUAGUAAUCGCGCAUCAGCCACGGCGCGGUGAAUACGUUCCCGGGCCUUGUACACACCGCCCGUCAAGCCAUGAAAGCCGGGGGUACCUGAAGUACGUAACCGCAAGGAGCGUCCUAGGGUAAAAC
RNAcentral lists this ribosomal RNA (1435 nucleotides) under uncultured organism. Its description in RNAcentral is "16S ribosomal RNA". It matches the Rfam family "Bacterial small subunit ribosomal RNA". The record is from RNAcentral.